CAGAGAAUAGUUUAUAAAAAAUAAUAAUUUUGGAGAUUAUUGAAAAAGAAAUUCUUUUUCUCUGA
RNAcentral lists this transfer RNA (65 nucleotides) under Sisyra nigra. Its description in RNAcentral is "tRNA-Pro". Lineage: Eukaryota; Metazoa; Arthropoda; Insecta; Neuroptera; Sisyridae. The record is from RNAcentral.